RNAcentral lists this transfer RNA (73 nucleotides) under Opeltia flavorubescens. RNAcentral describes it as "tRNA-Tyr (ATA) (tRNA-Tyr-ATA-1-1)". It matches the Rfam family "tRNA". From Rfam's summary of the family: Transfer RNA (tRNA) molecules are approximately 80 nucleotides in length. Their secondary structure includes four short double-helical elements and three loops (D, anti-codon, and T loops). Lineage: Eukaryota; Fungi; Ascomycota; Lecanoromycetes; Teloschistales; Teloschistaceae. The record is from RNAcentral.
GCCUCUAUAGUUUAGUGGUUAGAAUACUAGACUAUAGAUCUAGAGGUCCUCGGUUCGAAUCCGAGUAGUGGCU